GGGCUCGUAGCUCAGCUGGUAGAGCGCCACAUUCGCAAUGUGGAGGCCCCGGGUUCAAAUCCCGGCGAGUCCA
This 73-nucleotide transfer RNA is filed under the name Methanobacteriota archaeon. RNAcentral describes it as "Euryarchaeota archaeon (groundwater metagenome) tRNA-Ala". It matches the Rfam family "tRNA". Rfam says of the family: Transfer RNA (tRNA) molecules are approximately 80 nucleotides in length. Their secondary structure includes four short double-helical elements and three loops (D, anti-codon, and T loops). Lineage: Archaea; Methanobacteriati; Methanobacteriota. The record is from RNAcentral.